UACGGGAGGCAGCAGUGGGGAAUAUUGCACAAUGGGCGAAAGCCUGAUGCAGCGACGCCGCGUGAGGGAUGACGGCCUUCGGGUUGUAAACCUCUUUCAGCAGGGAAGAAGCGAAAGUGACGGUACCUGCAGAAGAAGCGCCGGCUAACUACGUGCCAGCAGCCGCGGUAAUACGUAGGGCGCGAGCGUUGUCCGGAAUUAUUGGGCGUAAAGAGCUCGUAGGCGGCUUGUCGCGUCGGUUGUGAAAGCCCGGGGCUUAACCCCGGGUCUGCAGUCGAUACGGGCAGGCUAGAGUUCGGUAGGGGAGAUCGGAAUUCCUGGUGUAGCGGUGAAAUGCGCAGAUAUCAGGAGGAACACCGGUGGCGAAGGCGGAUCUCUGGGCCGAUACUGACGCUGAGGAGCGAAAGCGUGGGGAGCGAACAGGAUUAGAUACCCUGGUAGUCCACGCCGUAAACGGUGGGCACUAGGUGUGGGCGACAUUCCACGUCGUCCGUGCCGCAGCUAACGCAUUAAGUGCCCCGCCUGGGGAGUAC
RNAcentral lists this ribosomal RNA (533 nucleotides) under Streptomyces sp. RNAcentral's name for it is "bacterial SSU rRNA". It matches the Rfam family "Bacterial small subunit ribosomal RNA", at positions 340 to 883 of the family's 1533-position model. The record is from RNAcentral. Lineage: Bacteria; Bacillati; Actinomycetota; Actinomycetes; Kitasatosporales; Streptomycetaceae.